GUAACCAUUUUGGAGCUAGCCGUCGAAGGUGGGACAGAUGAUUGGGGUGAAGUCGUAACAAGGUAGCCGUAUCGGAAGGUGCGGCUGGAUCACCUCCUUUCUAAGGA
Molecule: ribosomal RNA, 107 nt
Filed under: Staphylococcus delphini
Lineage: Bacteria; Bacillati; Bacillota; Bacilli; Caryophanales; Staphylococcaceae
Description: partial 16S ribosomal RNA
Rfam family: Bacterial small subunit ribosomal RNA
Source: RNAcentral